RNAcentral lists this ribosomal RNA (484 nucleotides) under uncultured bacterium. RNAcentral describes it as "partial 16S ribosomal RNA". It matches the Rfam family "Bacterial small subunit ribosomal RNA", at positions 30 to 507 of the family's 1533-position model. The record is from RNAcentral.
AUUGAACGCUGGCGGCAGGCCUAACACAUGCAAGUCGAGCGGAUGAAGGGUGCUUGCUCCUGGAUUCAGCGGCGGACGGGUGUGUAAUGCCUAGGAAUCUGCUUGGUAGUGGGGGAUAACGUCCGGAAACGGGUGCUACUAACGCCUGCGUCCUGCGGGUGCAAGUGGGGGAGCUUCGGACCUCUCGCUCUCAGGUGAGUCUAGGUCGGAUUGGCUAGUGGGUGGGGUAAAGGCCUACCUAGGCGACGAUCCGUAACUGGUCUGAGAGGAUGAUCAGUCACACUGGAACGGAAACACGGUCCAGACGCCUACGGGAGGCAGCAGUGGGGAAUAGUGGACAAUGGGCGAAAACCUGAUCCAGCCAUGCCGCGUGUGUGAAGAAAGUCUUCGGAGUGUAAAGCACGUUAAGGGGGGAGGAAGGGCAGUAAGUUAAUACCGUGCUGUUGUGACGUUAACAACAGAAGAAGCACCGGCUAACUUCGUG